ACUAUUGUUAGAGGAAAUAAGCCUCGAAAGGAUACUUCAAUCAACGGCCUGCUGGAAGAGUUUGACAAUAUCUCAGUUACACGAUCCAAUUCCCUGAGGAAGGAAAGUCCUCCCACCCACCACCAAGGAAACGCAAACCAUGUGCCGAGACACCAGGAGGAAAAUGGCUAUAUCACGUAUUCCCAGUACUCCAGUGAGUCAGACACUACAACAGACUAUGUCGUGGAAAAAUAUCGAGACAAGACUCUUUACGGGGAAGAGUUAGACAGGUACUACAAAGGCAGCUAUGCCGCCAAGCAGAAUGGACACAUGAUGAAGGUAACUUCCCGGGACAUCUAUUAUUCAGAAGUGACACCCUUGCAGUCAGACCUCUCCAGAUUCGUCCCAGAUUACCAUGCACACCUGGAGACAAAGCCUAAACCGCUGGAAUAUGGUGGCCUAAAGCUGGAGUAUCAGCGGAUCCCCAGUGGAUCCUCCCUGGACUAUAGAGAUCCCUUUCCUUACACCCCGUCCCGAGCAUCGGUGCAGAGUGAGUGCCCCAAGGAGAGGCUGGAGUACAGUGACAGUGAGUGGGGACAUGGCCUGGUCAAGGACGACUAUGACAAGAGGCCAAAGUCAUCCUACGUGGACCCGGCGAGCCCUCAGCCGGCGAUGAGGCAGAGGUCCAGGUCAGGCUCUGGUCUGCAGGAGCCGGCCAUGCCCUAUGGAGCAAGCGCUUUCAAAGCACACCAGCAGGGACAUUCCUACAGCUCCUACACCUACCCCCGCUUGUCUGAAACCGCCGCAGGCAUCCCCAAG
This is an RNA transcript of Antrostomus carolinensis (chuck-will's-widow), 798 nucleotides long. It is a transcript of the gene named serine/threonine-protein kinase PAK 5 pseudogene, with no coding region annotated. The record is from RefSeq and is a predicted model, not a curated record. Lineage: Eukaryota; Metazoa; Chordata; Aves; Caprimulgiformes; Caprimulgidae. The transcript has a single exon.